CCCUUAGAUGUUCUGGGCUGCACGCGUGCUACACUGAUAUUGCCAAUAUGUCAUUCUUAUCCGAAAUGGAUUGGGUAAUCAAGUAAUGAAAUUUCAUGCUUGGAAUCGGUAAUUGCAAUUUUAUCGUGAACGAGGAAUUCCUAGUAAGCACUAGUCAUCAGCUAAUGUUGAUUAUGUCCCUGCCCUUUGUACACACCGCCCGUCGCUACUACUGAUUAGGUGUUCAAGUGAGAUGCUUAGACCCUUGUUGCAUGGUUCAUUAUUGUGCUCCGAAAGGAAAAAGUUUCAAGCUUGAGUGUCUAGAGGAAGUAAAAGUCGUAACA
Molecule: ribosomal RNA, 323 nt
Filed under: uncultured eukaryote
Lineage: Eukaryota
Description: partial 18S ribosomal RNA
Rfam family: Eukaryotic small subunit ribosomal RNA
Source: RNAcentral